AUUGAACGCUGGCGGCAUGCUUUACACAUGCAAGUCGAACGGCAGCACAGGGAGCUUGCUCCCGGGUGGCGAGUGGCGCACGGGUGAGUAAUACAUCGGAACGUGUCCUGUUGUGGGGGAUAACUGCUCGAAAGGGUGGCUAAUACCGCAUGAGACCUGAGGGUGAAAGCGGGGGAUCGCAAGACCUCGCGCAAUUGGAGCGGCCGAUGCCCGAUUAGCUAGUUGGUGAGGUAAAGGUUCACCAAGGCGACGAUCGGUAGCUGGUCUGAGAGGACGACCAGCCACACUGGGACUGAGACACGGCCCAGACUCCUACGGGAGGCAGCAGUGGGGAAUUUUGGACAAUGGGGGCAACCCUGAUCCAGCCAUGCCGCGUGCAGGAUGACGGUUUUCGGAUUGUAAACUUCUUUUCUUAGUGACGAAGACAGUGACGGUAGCUAAGGAUAAGCAUCGGCUAACUACGUG
RNAcentral lists this ribosomal RNA (465 nucleotides) under uncultured bacterium. Its description in RNAcentral is "bacterial SSU rRNA". It matches the Rfam family "Bacterial small subunit ribosomal RNA", at positions 30 to 507 of the family's 1533-position model. The record is from RNAcentral.